This 465-nucleotide ribosomal RNA is filed under the name uncultured bacterium. Its description in RNAcentral is "partial 16S ribosomal RNA". It matches the Rfam family "Bacterial small subunit ribosomal RNA", at positions 28 to 507 of the family's 1533-position model. The record is from RNAcentral.
GAUGAACGCUGGCGGCGUGCUUAACACAUGCAAGUCGAACGGAAAGGCUCCUGCUUGCAGGGGUACUCGAGUGGCGAACGGGUGAGUAACACGUGGGUGAUCUGCCCUGCACUUCGGGAUAAGCCUGGGAAACUGGGUCUAAUACCGGAUAGGACGAUGGUUUGGAUGCCAUUGUGGAAAGUUUUUCGGUGUGGGAUGAGCUCGCGGCCUAUCAGCUUGUUGGUGGGGUAAUGGCCUACCAAGGCGUCGACGGGUAGCCGGCCUGAGAGGGUGUACGGCCACAUUGGGACUGAGAUACGGCCCAGACUCCUACGGGAGGCAGCGGUGGGGAAUAUUGCACAAUGGGCGCAAGCCUGAUGCAGCGACGCCGCGUGGGGGAUGACGGCCUUCGGGUUGUAAACUCCUUUCGCUAGGGACGAAGCGCAAGUGACGGUACCUAGAGAAGAAGCACCGGCUAACUACGUG